AGUGGGGAAUUUUGGACAAUGGGCGCAAGCCUGAUCCAGCAAUGCCGCGUGCAGGAAGAAGGCCUUCGGGUUGUAAACUGCUUUUGUACGGAGCGAAAAGGCUCUCUCUAAUACAGGGGGCUCAUGACGGUACCGUAAGAAUAAGCACCGGCUAACUACGUGCCAGCAGCCGCGGUAAUACGUAGGGUGCGAGCGUUAAUCGGAAUUACUGGGCGUAAAGCGUGCGCAGGCGGUUUUGUAAGACAGGCGUGAAAUCCCCGGGCUCAACCUGGGAAUGGCGCUUGUGACUGCAAAGCUGGAGUGCGGCAGAGGGGGAUGGAAUUCCGCGUGUAGCAGUGAAAUGCGUAGAUAUGCGGAGGAACACCGAUGGCGAAGGCAAUCCCCUGGGCCUGCACUGACGCUCAUGCACGAAAGCGUGGGGAGCAAACAGGAUUAGAUACCCUGGUAGUCCACGCCCUAAACGAUGUCAACUGGUUGUGGGGUAU
Molecule: ribosomal RNA, 485 nt
Filed under: uncultured bacterium
Lineage: Bacteria
Description: bacterial SSU rRNA
Rfam family: Bacterial small subunit ribosomal RNA
Source: RNAcentral